UGGGUUUGACAUGGAUCGGGAGUGCUCAGAGAUGGGUGUGCCUCUUUUGGGGUCGGUUCACAGGUGGUGCAUGGCUGUCGUCAGCUCGUGUCGUGAGAUGUUGGGUUAAGUCCGCAACGAGCGCAACCCUUGUUCACUGUUGCCAGCACGUUAUGGUGGGGACUCAGUGGAGACCGCCGGGUCAACUCGGAGGAAGGUGGGGAUGACGUCAAGUCAUCAUGCCCUUA
Molecule: ribosomal RNA, 227 nt
Filed under: uncultured bacterium
Lineage: Bacteria
Description: partial 16S ribosomal RNA
Rfam family: Bacterial small subunit ribosomal RNA
Source: RNAcentral